UAUUGAAGAAGCUACACUAGUAGCUUAGGGAGCAAGCUUAUGCUCUAAACAAAACCACUCUCUCUCUCUUCUCUCCCCUCAUUCACACGCCCCUCACCCCUCUCUCAUCUCUCUCUCUUUCUUCCUUAAUCCUCCAUUGUUAACCAUUCUCAAAGCUUCAAAAAUCAUAUCUCCACCAUAGAUCUUCACUAAAUCAAAUCAAAACUUCAUUUCCUUUGAAUCAAGAGCAAGAUUGAUGGAGUUUCAAGCUUGAAGUUAGAGAGAAGAAUUUUUAUUUCUUUCAAAAUCCUUGAGUAAGUGAUGAAUCCUUUUAGAUCUAGACUUAAAUGUGUUGUAUAUGUGUAUAUAUGGAUAGAUCAAGCAAGAAAACACCCCUAUCCCUUCUUUGUGAUUUUCGAAAAUUUGGGUCUUUUACCCUUCAAAAAAUUUUUUCUUUUCCUUUUCUUAAAUUGAUGUUAUUUAAAUACUAUUGGGUGCCUAAUUAGUCUAUUUCCAUGUGUAGAUAAUUGAAUUAAAAAGAGAUAUGAGAUUUGAAAUAGUUUAGUUUGUGUAAAUUUGGGAAGUUUUGUAUUUGAGGCUUGAUUGAUGAAUUGAUGGAUGAUAUAUGCUAUUGAGAGUGUUUAUAUGAGAUUUGAUGGAUUGGAUUGAUGGUUGAAAUUGAUUAGUAAUUUUUGAUAUGAGUUAGUUUGAUGUAAUUUGGGUAAAAUUGAUUCUAUGGUUUAAUUUACUAAUUGAUUGUUUAUUUAUGCUAUUAAGUGUGCCAAUUUGAUAGAUCUAAGGUUGGAUUAAUGAUUUAUGCAUGUUUACAAAUUUUCAAAAAGUUUAGUUUGUUAAAAAUUGGGACUUUGUGAUCUAUGUGUUAAUUGAUUAAAUUGGCUAAGUUUAAUUGUUAUUAAGCAUGAUAGAAAUGAUAAUUAGGGAUCAAUUUGGUUAAUUGUCAAGAAUGCCUAAAAUUGGUUAAGUUUAGUUUGCUAGUAAUUGGGAACUUUUGAGUAAUGAAAUAAAUACUUGAAUUGAUGAUGUUUAUAUGAUAGUUAGACUACUAGCAAGGAGAAAGCAUGAUUAAAUUGGUUAAUGAUGUUGAUUUGUGAAAAUUUUCCGAGUUUAGUUUGCGUGCAUACAUGAGAUCCUGUAUAUAAGAUGAGUUAUGAGCCAAGCAUGUCUAUAUGUGGCUUUUUGAUGAUUAUUUGAGCUUAUAUAUGCAAUAUGAGACGAAACGGACCAACCCCUAAUGACCUAUGUGUUGGCCGAAUGUAGGGAGAAAAAGGGGAAGUCGAUGUUUGAAUUUUCUUGAGUUAUAUGAUUAUGUAUUUAUGUUAUUGUGUAUUAUGUGAGCUUAAUUUGAAUUUUUGAGAAUUUUGCAUCGAAGAAAUCCAAAGUCUAGGUAUAAUUGCUUGUAUGUUCAAGUUUGGAGUCAUUUUAUGACCUUUUAUACCUACUGUUUCGUUGGGUUCUUGUUACCCAAAGACCUUGAAAAUUUUAUGGUAAGAUUAAAUAAGAGUCAGUAGCAUACCGGUAAAAUUUCACGUCAAUUGGACUUUGUUUAUUAUUUUUAUAAAAUAGAAAACUAAAACUGCUACCUGCUGCCGAAAUGUUCGGUGAGUAUCCAAUAGAGUCACCUCUUCCAGUGUCCUUCCCUAACUUUUUGGAGCCUAAAUUUUUAUUUUUAAGACAUGAGUGUCUUAUCUAAGUACCCACCAAAUUUCAAGCCUUUUCGGCAACGUUUACUAUUUUUCAAAAAUCAAAGUUUUUAAUUGCUCAAAACUGCCGAAUAUGGUAGACUGUAGGAAAACAGUCAUAUCUCCUAAACUACUUGGAGUUUUUCAUCCUACUUUUUUUUGAAUGAAACUAGACUCAAAUAGGUUUUAAAUGGUAUAGGUCAUGACUCCAGUGGAGCUCUGUACCGAAUCUGGUGAAGUCUUUAAAUCGAGUCAGUGCAGAAUGAUGUUUGUUUGUGACAUGUCUAUGUGUGAAUUUAUAUGUUUAUGUGAUUAUGCUUGUUUAUGUGCUUGAUUGCUAUGGGUUUAAUUCGAGUUGAGUGUUAAGUCGAGAGUAGGACUUGUGAAUCCUUAGGAGUUAAGUAUACCUAGGGAUUGAGAUUUAGUUGGGUAAAUAGAAGAUGAGUGAUAAGUUAAAGUUUGAGCUGAGAUUGAAUCUUAGUAAAUGAGUUUCUAACUGAGGUUUAUCUUAUCUCAUGAACCACUCCGACAUUGUGACAUCUGAAGAUACAAGCAGAGGACGGAGGUAAGAUCGUCCAAGUACUACGAGAGUAAGCUAAGUUUGUCAGGUGGGCAUUAUUUUGAUAUACCUAUUAUACGAGCUUUCUUAAAUGAUAUGAUAUUUAUGAUUAUGAAUUGAGUUAAUGUUAUGCUUGAAACUAAUUGACUUGCCGAGUUUUGUUAAUAAUGACUUGUGUGUUACCCUCUACUGUUGAGACGAAUUCGGUCCUGCCACAAGCGGGAUUUUGUGCACAGAGGUGACUGUGAGCCGUCUAUCGGGUCGGCCGGUCACGGUACUUGAGAGGGAGGCCUACUUCUCAGUACCUUUAAUGAUGAGUAGUGGAUGUGGUACAUACAUAAUGAAUGUUUAAACUGCGCAGUUACUUUAUUGUGAUGUUAUGAUUUGUGAAAUUGCAUGCACAGGUUCUUCUCUAACUAAAACCCCUGUGUGUUGCUUAAUGUGGCAAGUUCAAUUUAUAGCUCUAAGAGCAAGCUUUCUUUUGUUUUUCGGCAUAUGUACACUGAGUACUUUGUACUCAGCCCUGCAUGUAUUUCUAAAUGUGCAGGAUAAGCGAGGAGGAGGAAGAUCGGUCUGGUGCUGGCGG
RNAcentral lists this long non-coding RNA (2824 nucleotides) under Salvia miltiorrhiza (redroot sage). Its description in RNAcentral is "long non-coding RNA (SMIL_LNC009154)". Lineage: Eukaryota; Viridiplantae; Streptophyta; Magnoliopsida; Lamiales; Lamiaceae. The record is from RNAcentral.